Molecule: ribosomal RNA, 657 nt
Filed under: Funiculus tenuis HSN023
Lineage: Bacteria; Bacillati; Cyanobacteriota; Cyanophyceae; Coleofasciculales; Coleofasciculaceae
Description: bacterial SSU rRNA
Rfam family: Bacterial small subunit ribosomal RNA
Source: RNAcentral
UCGGACGGGGUGAGUAACGCGUAGAAUCUGCCUUCAGGACGGGGAUAACAGUUGGAAACGACUGCUAAGACCGGAUGUGCCGAGAGGUGAAAUAUUUAUAGCCUGAAGAUGAGCUCGCGUCCGAUUAGCUAGUUGGUAAGGUAAAAGCUUACCAAGGCGACGAUCGGUAGCUGGUCUGAGAGGACGAUCAGCCACACUGGGACUGAGACACGGCCCAGACUCCUACGGGAGGCAGCAGUGGGGAAUUUUCCGCAAUGGGCGAAAGCCUGACGGAGCAAGACCGCGUGGGGGAGGAAGGUUCUUGGAUUGUAAACCCCUUUUCUCAGGGAAGAACACAAUGACGGUACCUGAGGAAUCAGCAUCGGCUAACUCCGUGCCAGCAGCCGCGGUAAUACGGAGGAUGCAAGCGUUAUCCGGAAUAAUUGGGCGUAAAGCGUCCGUAGGUGGCUGUUCAAGUCUGCCGUUAAAGACCGGGGCUUAACCCUGGAAAGGCGGUGGAAACUGAACGGCUAGAGUGCAGUAGGGGUAGAGGGAAUUCCCAGUGUAGCGGUGAAAUGCGUAGAGAUUGGGAAGAACACCGGUGGCGAAAGCGCUCUGCUGGACUGCAACUGACACUGAGGGACGAAAGCUAGGGGAGCGAAAGGGAUUAGAUACCCC